CCAGACUCCUACGGGAGGCAGCAGUGGGGAAUAUUGCACAAUGGGGGAAACCCUGAUGCAGCGACGCCGCGUGAAGGACGAAGUAUUUCGGUACGUAAACUUCUAUCAGCAGGGAAGAAAAUGACGGUACCUGACCAAGAAGCCCCGGCUAACUACGUGCCAGCAGCCGCGGUAAUACGUAGGGGGCAAGCGUUAUCCGGAUUUACUGGGUGUAAAGGGAGCGUAGACGGCCAUGCAAGUCUGAUGUGAAAACCCGGGGCUCAACCCCGGGACUGCAUUGGAAACUGUGCGGCUGGAGUGUCGGAGAGGCAAGUGGAAUUCCUAGUGUAGCGGUGAAAUGCGUAGAUAUUAGGAGGAACACCAGUGGCGAAGGCGGCUUACUGGACAGUAACUGACGUUGAGGCUCGAAAGCGUGGGGAGCAAACAGGAUUAGAUACCCUUGUA
This 444-nucleotide ribosomal RNA is filed under the name uncultured bacterium. RNAcentral's name for it is "bacterial SSU rRNA". It matches the Rfam family "Bacterial small subunit ribosomal RNA", at positions 331 to 792 of the family's 1533-position model. The record is from RNAcentral.